ACGCUCGACACCUACGGGAGGCAGCAGUAGGGAAUCUUCCACAAUGGGCGCAAGCCUGAUGGAGCAACACCGCGUGAGUGAAGAAGGGUUUCGGCUCGUAAAGCUCUGUUGUUGGAGAAGAACGUGCGUGAGAGUAACUGUUCACGCAGUGACGGUAUCCAACCAGAAAGUCACGGCUAACUACGUGUCAGCAGCCGCGGUAAUCUGAGCGGGCUGGCAAGGC
This 223-nucleotide ribosomal RNA is filed under the name uncultured bacterium. Its description in RNAcentral is "partial 16S ribosomal RNA". It matches the Rfam family "Bacterial small subunit ribosomal RNA", at positions 328 to 539 of the family's 1533-position model. The record is from RNAcentral.